AGGUAUAGCUCAGCUGGUCAGAGCGCUUGCUUGACAUGCAAGAGGUCGUAGGUUCAAAUCCUACUAUCUUC
RNAcentral lists this transfer RNA (71 nucleotides) under human gut metagenome. It matches the Rfam family "tRNA". From Rfam's summary of the family: Transfer RNA (tRNA) molecules are approximately 80 nucleotides in length. Their secondary structure includes four short double-helical elements and three loops (D, anti-codon, and T loops). Further hydrogen bonds mediate the characteristic L-shaped molecular structure. tRNAs have two regions of fundamental functional importance: the anti-codon, which is responsible for specific mRNA codon recognition, and the 3' end, to which the tRNAs corresponding amino acid is attached (by aminoacyl-tRNA synthetases). tRNAs cope with the degeneracy of the genetic code in two manners: having more than one tRNA (with a specific anti-codon) for a particular amino acid; and 'wobble' base-pairing, i.e. permitting non-standard base-pairing at the 3rd anti-codon position. The record is from RNAcentral.